CGUACACAAAAAUGCACAUACUGUGAGCUCGAUGAGUAGGGCGGGACACGUGGUAUCCUGUCUGAAUAUGGGGGGACCAUCCUCCAAGGCUAAAUACUCCUGACUGACCGAUAGUGAACCAGUACCGUGAGGGAAAGGCGAAAAGAACCCCGGCGAGGGGAGUGAAAAAGAACCUGAAACCGUGUACGUACAAGCAGUGGGAGCACGCUUCGGCGUGUGACUGCGUACCUUUUGUAUAAUGGGUCAGCGACUUAUAUUCUGUAGCAAGGUUAACCGAAUAGGGGAGCCGAAGGGAAACCGAGUCUUAACUGGGCGUUAAGUUGCAGGGUAUAGACCCGAAACCCGGUGAUCUAGCCAUGGGCAGGUUGAAGGUUGGGUAACACUAACUGGAGGACCGAACCGACUAAUGUUGAAAAAUUAGCGGAUGACUUGUGGCUGGGGGUGAAAGGCCAAUCAAACCGGGAGAUAGCUGGUUCUCCCCGAAAGCUAUUUAGGUAGCGCCUCGUGAAUUCAUCUCCGGGGGUAGAGCACUGUUUCGGCAAGGGGGUCAUCCCGACUUACCAACCCGAUGCAAACUGCGAAUACCGGAGAAUGUUAUCACGGGAGACACACGGCGGGUGCUAACGUCCGUCGUGAAGAGGGAAACAACCCAGACCGCCAGCUAAGGUCCCAAAGUCAUGGUUAAGUGGGAAACGAUGUGGGAAGGCCCAGACAGCCAGGAUGUUGGCUUAGAAGCAGCCAUCAUUUAAAGAAAGCGUAAUAGCUCACUGGUCGAGUCGGCCUGCGCGGAAGAUGUAACGGGGCUAAACCAUGCACCGAAGCUGCGGCAGCGACGCUGAUGCGUUGUUGGGUAGGGGAGCGUUCUGUAAGCCUGCGAAGGUGUGCUGUGAGGCAUGCUGGAGGUAUCAGAAGUGCGAAUGCUGACAUAAGUAACGAUAAAGCGGGUGAAAAGCCCGCUCGCCGGAAGACCAAGGGUUCCUGUCCAACGUUAAUCGGGGCAGGGUGAGUCGACCCCUAAGGCGAGGCCGAAAGGCGUAGUCGAUGGGAAACAGGUUAAUAUUCCUGUACUUGGUGUUACUGCGAAGGGGGGACGGAGAAGGCUAUGUUGGCCGGGCGACGGUUGUCCCGGUUUAAGCGUGUAGGCUGGUUUUCCAGGCAAAUCCGGAAAAUCAAGGCUGAGGCGUGAUGACGAGGCACUACGGUGCUGAAGCAACAAAUGCCCUGCUUCCAGGAAAAGCCUCUAAGCAUCAGGUAACAUCAAAUCGUACCCCAAACCGACACAGGUGGUCAGGUAGAGAAUACCAAGGCGCUUGAGAGAACUCGGGUGAAGGAACUAGGCAAAAUGGUGCCGUAACUUCGGGAGAAGGCACGCUGAUAUGUAGGUGAGGUCCCUCGCGGAUGGAGCUGAAAUCAGUCGAAGAUACCAGCUGGCUGCAACUGUUUAUUAAAAACACAGCACUGUGCAAACACGAAAGUGGACGUAUACGGUGUGACGCCUGCCCGGUGCCGGAAGGUUAAUUGAUGGGGUCAGCGCAAGCGAAGCUCUUGAUCGAAGCCCCGGUAAACGGCGGCCGUAACUAUAACGGUCCUAAGGUAGCGAAAUUCCUUGUCGGGUAAGUUCCGACCUGCACGAAUGGCGUAAUGAUGGCCAGGCUGUCUCCACCCGAGACUCAGUGAAAUUGAACUCGCUGUGAAGAUGCAGUGUACCCGCGGCAAGACGGAAAGACCCCGUGAACCUUUACUAUAGCUUGACACUGAACAUUGAGCCUUGAUGUGUAGGAUAGGUGGGAGGCUUUGAAGUGUGGACGCCAGUCUGCAUGGAGCCGACCUUGAAAUACCACCCUUUAAUGUUUGAUGUUCUAACGUUGACCCGUAAUCCGGGUUGCGGACAGUGUCUGGUGGGUAGUUUGACUGGGGCGGUCUCCUCCUAAAGAGUAACGGAGGAGCACGAAGGUUGGCUAAUCCUGGUCGGACAUCAGGAGGUUAGUGCAAUGGCAUAAGCCAGCUUGACUGCGAGCGUGACGGCGCGAGCAGGUGCGAAAGCAGGUCAUAGUGAUCCGGUGGUUCUGAAUGGAAGGGCCAUCGCUCAACGGAUAAAAGGUACUCCGGGGAUAACAGGCUGAUACCGCCCAAGAGUUCAUAUCGACGGCGGUGUUUGGCACCUCGAUGUCGGCUCAUCACAUCCUGGGGCUGAAGUAGGUCCCAAGGGUAUGGCUGUUCGCCAUUUAAAGUGGUACGCGAGCUGGGUUUAGAACGUCGUGAGACAGUUCGGUCCCUAUCUGCCGUGGGCGCUGGAGAACUGAGGGGGGCUGCUCCUAGUACGAGAGGACCGGAGUGGACGCAUCACUGGUGUUCGGGUUGUCAUGCCAAUGGCACUGCCCGGUAGCUAAAUGCGGAAGAGAUAAGUGCUGAAAGCAUCUAAGCACGAAACUUGCCCCGAGAUGAGUUCUCCCUGACCCUUUAAGGGUCCUGAAGGAACGUUGAAGACGACGACGUUGAUAGGCCGGGUGUGUAAGCGCAGCGAUGCGUUGAGCUAACCGGUACUAAUGAACCGUGAGGCUUAACCU
Molecule: ribosomal RNA, 2567 nt
Filed under: Escherichia coli 4-203-08_S1_C3
Lineage: Bacteria; Pseudomonadati; Pseudomonadota; Gammaproteobacteria; Enterobacterales; Enterobacteriaceae
Description: bacterial LSU rRNA
Rfam family: Bacterial large subunit ribosomal RNA
Source: RNAcentral